AUAUAUGUUUUUAUUUUGUUAGAUCAAUAAAAGUGUUCCGAUCUCAAAGACAAGCUCGAGUACCACGUACUAAAUCCAGCAACAUUACGUGGAUAAAAGUGCAGUGUCCUCUACAGCGCAACGGUAUCGAUUGCGGAUACUUUGUAAUGAGGUUUAUGAGGGAAAUCAUUAAUAUGAAUCAAAUAGAGAUUCCAAUCACGUACUUUGAUGAAUACAAGUGUGCUCAUUACACGAGACUGCAGUUGGAACAAAUCAAGGAGGAAUUGUGUCAAUAUUUUAUUGUGAAAAGAUUAAUUAGUAUAUAAUGGUUUCAAAAUAACAUGAAUACUUUGAUGAAGAAUGGUUUCUGGUUGGCAAGUGUAUAGUUCUUUAUAUUUUUAACAGAUUAGUUAUGACUCCAAAUAGGCCGUAUAACAUAUUAGUUUUGACUUGUGUAUAGUUCUUUAUAAUUUUAGUGAUAUCUUUAAUUUCAUGGAUAGAUUAAUGUGUUCAUUCUUGUGUUGGUUUGCUUUAAAAAAUUACAAAUGCUUGAAUUAUGACUCCAAAUGUGUUCAGUGCCUAUCUAUCCUUGUGUUGGUUUGCUUUCAUGGAUAGAUUAUGACUCCAAAUGCUUGAAUUAGAGAGGCUUGAUUUACAGGUUUAUGGGAUUAUUCCCAAAAAAUAUUACAGGUUGAAAUGGUAGGCUUAAACUGAAGGCAGCGUUUUGUUAUUUUACUAGAGGAAAAGACAGCGCUUUUUACUAAAAAGCGCUGCUAAAGGUUGUCAAUAGAGAGCG
Molecule: long non-coding RNA, 775 nt
Organism: Lathyrus oleraceus (garden pea)
Lineage: Eukaryota; Viridiplantae; Streptophyta; Magnoliopsida; Fabales; Fabaceae
Exons: 3
Source: RefSeq, a predicted model, not a curated record